RNAcentral lists this ribosomal RNA (559 nucleotides) under uncultured bacterium. RNAcentral describes it as "bacterial SSU rRNA". It matches the Rfam family "Bacterial small subunit ribosomal RNA", at positions 56 to 600 of the family's 1533-position model. The record is from RNAcentral.
UGCAGUCGAGCGAUCUUAAGGUGCUUGCACCUUUUGAUUAGCGGCGGACGGGUGAGUAACACGUGGGCAACCUGCCUGUAAGACUGGGAUAACUUCGGGAAACCGGAGCUAAUACCGGAUAAUCCUUUUCCUCUCAUGAGGAAAAGCUGAAAGUCGGUUUACGCUGACACUUACAGAUGGGCCCGCGGCGCAUUAGCUAGUUGGUGAGGUAACGGCUCACCAAGGCGACGAUGCGUAGCCGACCUGAGAGGGUGAUCGGCCACACUGGGACUGAGACACGGCCCAGACUCCUACGGGAGGCAGCAGUAGGGAAUCUUCCGCAAUGGACGAAAGUCUGACGGAGCAACGCCGCGUGAGCGAUGAAGGCCUUCGGGUCGUAAAGCUCUGUUGUUAGGGAAGAACAAGUACCGGAGUAACUGCCGGUACCUUGACGGUACCUAACCAGAAAGCCACGGCUAACUACGUGCCAGCAGCCGCGGUAAUACGUAGGUGGCAAGCGUUGUCCGGAAUUAUUGGGCGUAAAGCGCGCGCAGGCGGUCCUUUAAGUCUGAUGUGAAAG